Molecule: long non-coding RNA, 1507 nt
Filed under: Vulpes vulpes (red fox)
Lineage: Eukaryota; Metazoa; Chordata; Mammalia; Carnivora; Canidae
Description: lncRNA (ENSVVUG00000011000.1)
Source: RNAcentral
CACACAGAGGCAGAGACACAGGCAGAGGGAGAAGCAGGCCUCCCGCAAGGAGCCUGAUAUGGGAUUCGAACCUGGAUCCCGGGAUCACACCCUGAGCCAAAGGCACACACUCAACCCCUGAGCCACCCAGGCGUCCCCAAAAAAGAUUUAAAGGUAUAGAUAAGAAAUACUCAAGUGUAUUUGUGGCCUGAGAAGGAAGUGGGAGGUUGAUUGUAAACUGCUUGUUGGAUGGGACUCCCCUCCACUUGUUAGCUCCCUAUCAUCUCAGUGGCUUUUAGCAAAUGAGCAUCUGAAUCAGUGCCAGCUGACCCUAUAGGAAUGAUCUAUGCAGGGGAAGUGUGGAGGUGCACCUGUGAGCAGGCGAGCUACAGCCAGGGUCUCUCUUUGCUUUCUGGAUUACAGUGUUUCAUCCUUCGCCACAAGGGACUAUUGACAAUGCAUCGGGCCUUGGACUUGCAGGAGGGGCUGGCCAUGGGGUGCGAAGUCUUGCUGCAUUUCCCAGGGUGAACAACUCUGGCUCAGAGAAGCCCGGCGGUUUAUCUCAGGCCGGAACUAGUUAGUGGCAGCAUGAGGACUGCAACUCAAGUCAUCUGGCUCUAGGUCGGUCUUGUCUUGACAACGCCACAAAAAGUCCACGUGUCCUUCACGCUGUUAUAUUCAACCUGGGGCAGUUCUUAAAAAUACAAACUUUUAAUUAAAAUAGACAACAUAGAAAAGUGUGCAGAUUGUUAAGUGCACAGUGUGGCAAAUUUCUCAGAGUUAACACAUUAGGACACGUUUUGAUGAUUAGAUAGCAACUAAAAUAUGUAUAAUUAGUAUAAACUUCAUAGACUUGGUGUGAAAAUAGUCACAUUUUCUUGUCCAACUUAAUCAUGUUAGCUCUUAAAUUAGCUCACCUGCAGAGGCAGCUGAGCAAGGAUAAUCCACUCCCUAGUUGUUAAGUGCCCGUCUCUUAGGAUCGUAAAGAUGCAACUCUUGGCCCCUUCUGUUCCCAUCUUAGCUGCCUCAGACCAGGUCCCGGGAUCCACCACCUCUCAGACCCAGAACUCCUGUCGGCCUUCUCUCCUGAGGUCUUGCUCUUGAGGGAAGACCUUUUCCCUUAAACAUCCAGAGGACAAAGGACCUGUAAAGGGGUGUGCUUUCCCUCUAGACAUUGGAGCUACUUGCCCUUCUGACCAAAUGAUAGAGCUUCUAGGAGAGACAACCCUAGGAAUUCCCAGGGCCCUGCACAUGCCCUCAAGGAGCCUCGUGGCUUAAAUAGGCUACAAAUUCCCACCCACCCAGUCCAUACACUCCUUUGCAAUACGAUUAUCCUUUCCCAUCAAGAAGUGAGUCCAUUUCUCGACUACUCCAGAAUCUGGGCUUGGUCAUGUGAUUUGUUUUGGCCAAUGGGACAUCAGCAAACGUGAUGUGGGUGAAAGACCAGAGCACUGGUUGGGAAGCUUGGCAGCUUUUGCUGCUGGGAACCCCGAGGUCACUGUGGGCGAGGCUGGGCUAGGCUCUGGAG